UGCCUUGUUCGUCUAGCGGUCCAGGAUUUCUCGUUCUCAGCGAGAGGAGGCGGGUUCGAUUCCUGCACAAGGUAU
Molecule: transfer RNA, 75 nt
Filed under: Reticulibacter mediterranei
Lineage: Bacteria; Bacillati; Chloroflexota; Ktedonobacteria; Ktedonobacterales; Reticulibacteraceae
Description: tRNA-Glu
Rfam family: tRNA
About the family: Transfer RNA (tRNA) molecules are approximately 80 nucleotides in length. Their secondary structure includes four short double-helical elements and three loops (D, anti-codon, and T loops).
Source: RNAcentral